This 313-nucleotide ribosomal RNA is filed under the name Tetrastemma sp. I NEP-2021. RNAcentral's name for it is "partial large subunit ribosomal RNA". It matches the Rfam family "Bacterial large subunit ribosomal RNA", at positions 1976 to 2543 of the family's 2925-position model. Lineage: Eukaryota; Metazoa; Nemertea; Enopla; Monostilifera; Tetrastemmatidae. The record is from RNAcentral.
AUAAUUGAGGGCUAGUAUGAAUGGAACUACAAGACAUUUUCUGUAUUGGGAAGAAGGUAAUAAAUUGCUUUUUUAGUGAAGAAGCUAGAAUAGCGCUAUAGGACAAGAAGACCCUUUUGAGCUUUAUUGCUUCAUUGAUAAGGUAUCUCUGUGCAAUUUGGUUGGGGCGACCAAGGAAGGCUUAAUCUUCCUUUACAUAUAGCGAUCCAGAGUUUUUGAUUAUUAGACUAAGUUACCAAAGGGAUAACAGCGUAAUUUUUUUUGAGAGUUCUUAUUAAAAAAAAAGAUUGGCACCUCGAUGUUGGCUUAGGAA